UACGGGGGGGGCAAGCGUUGUUCGGAAUUACUGGGCGUAAAGGGCUCGUAGGUGGCCUACUAAGUCAGACGUGAAAUCCCUCGGCUUAACCGGGGAACUGCGUCUGAUACUGGAUGGCUUGAGUUUGGGAGAGGGAGGCGGAAUUCCAGGUGUAGCGGUGAAAUGCGUAGAUAUCUGGAGGAACACCGGUGGCGAAGGCGGCAUCCUGGACCAAUACUGACGCUGAGGAGCGAAAGCCAGGGGAGCAAACGGG
RNAcentral lists this ribosomal RNA (253 nucleotides) under uncultured bacterium. RNAcentral describes it as "partial 16S ribosomal RNA". It matches the Rfam family "Bacterial small subunit ribosomal RNA", at positions 524 to 776 of the family's 1533-position model. The record is from RNAcentral.